This 468-nucleotide ribosomal RNA is filed under the name uncultured bacterium. Its description in RNAcentral is "partial 16S ribosomal RNA". It matches the Rfam family "Bacterial small subunit ribosomal RNA", at positions 28 to 507 of the family's 1533-position model. The record is from RNAcentral.
GACGAACGCUGGCGGCGUGCUUAACACAUGCAAGUCGAACGGAAAGGCCCUGCUUUUGUGGGGUGCUCGAGUGGCGAACGGGUGAGUAACACGUGAGUAACCUGCCCUUGACUUUGGGAUAACUUCAGGAAACUGGGGCUGAUACCGGAUAGGAGCUCCUGCCGCAUGGUGGGGGUUGGAAAGUUUCGGCGGUUGGGGAUGGACUCGCGGCUUAUCAGCUUGUUGGUGGGGUAGUGGCUUACCAAGGCUUUGACGGGUAGCCGGCCUGAGAGGGUGACCGGCCACAUUGGGACUGAGAUACGGCCCAGACUCCUACGGGAGGCAGCAGUGGGGAAUAUUGCACAAUGGGCGGAAGCCUGAUGCAGCAACGCCGCGUGCGGGAUGACGGCCUUCGGGUUGUAAACCGCUUUCGCCUGUGACGAAGCGUGAGUGACGGUAAUGGGUAAAGAAGCACCGGCUAACUACGUG